Molecule: long non-coding RNA, 370 nt
Filed under: Oryza brachyantha (malo sina)
Lineage: Eukaryota; Viridiplantae; Streptophyta; Magnoliopsida; Poales; Poaceae
Description: long non-coding RNA (OBRA_LNC002628)
Source: RNAcentral
GUAUCAGAACGACAUAUGUGUCUUCCAUACACAUUAAAAAGGUAUGAGAAGGUAUUGAAGAAAUUAGCUCGUAACCUUUUGCAGUGUUUACUUCUUAGAUACGUUUGUUCAUACAUCGGGUUUAUGUGUUAUUCCAUCUAUUACAAGGAAGUUGGAAGGUGGAGAAUCAAGGACCAACUGUGGACACGUGGCCAGAUGUAGGGGCAUUGGCGGAGGUUGGGCCGAAGGAAGGGACGGCGGAGGAAGAGGACCUGGAGGAAGGGGUCCGGGACAGCCUGUGUUCGUCGGAGCUAAAGGCGGCCACACGGUGCCAUCUGUCAGACAAUUGAUUAGAUUUAACUGGAAUGUUUUAACUAGAUCACACAAACAU